AUUUGCUUUCUUGUAUGCAUCAUA
Molecule: non-coding RNA, 24 nt
Filed under: Arabidopsis thaliana (thale cress)
Lineage: Eukaryota; Viridiplantae; Streptophyta; Magnoliopsida; Brassicales; Brassicaceae
Source: RNAcentral